GAUCGAUUGAGGGCCAUGCCAAGUUGAAGGAACUAUGCAUCUAAUGUAGGGGCAUUUUUACAUCGGGCUCGAGUGGGGAGGCAUGUGGGAUGUAGGGGCACACUCGGGGUGGGUGGCUUGUAUGAGGUAGAACUCAUGUGAUUUGGGGCGCAUGAGGGGGGAUCGACCAAGGGCCUAACCCAUGAGAUGUGGGGCCUAGGCUAUGAGAUAAAGGGAUUGAUUCACCAUGCUUUAUCAGUUCGAGCUUUUGGAGCAAGUAGUUAUUUGUCCUGCAUCAAAGUGAUAUCAGAGUAGAAGAUCUCAUGUUUGAGACUCCUCACUGGGGAUGAUUAAUGCAGGGGUAUUUUCACACCGGGCUCGAGUGGGGUGGCCCCUGGGAUGCAGGAGCAUACUCGGGGUGGGUGGCUCGUGUGAAGCAGAACCCAACCCAUGUGAUUUGGGGCCCACAAGGGGGGUUCGGCCAAGGACAUAACCUAUGAGAUAAAUGGAUUGAUUCGCCAUGCUCUAUCAAUUUGAGCUUUUAAAUCAAGUUGUUAAUUGUCUAGCAUGAGUACUACUUCUAGGAUACAAUUCUCAUAGAUAUCCUUUGAGGUUGAGAUCGUUCCCCAAGUCUUCAAUCUUACAUACAAUUACGUUCCCUGCACUGAAUUUAUGGACAUGAUCCACUUGUUCCUUAAGUAAAUACUUUCAGUUUAUCAAUGCCUUCAAGUUUUUAUGAUGUUUUGAAGUGACAAAUUUGCUCAUCUGUUUAGGUUGUUUACGAAGCUGUCAAUAGCUUGUGGGAUCCUUCUAACUAGAUGAUGGGACAAGUCAAUCGGGAGAGACUCGCUGAAUAUCUUGGGGAGUUGCAGCGGAAGGAGGACACGAAUGAUCGAUAUGUAGCUGCUUUAAGAGGAGAGACUUUGACAAGAAACCCUUAUGUAAGGAUUCAGCCGAUACCCAAGCAAACUGCCGAUGCUGACAAGGAAAAGAAGUAGGCCAACAAGUUGUGAAUGUUUUAUUGGAAGGUUUGUGUUUCGUGAAACCAAUGAAACAUCUCAAAAUCACAUUGUAUACUUGGUGUGACUCUUUUAUUUUUGGAUUUUGGGUGUUACUAUUGUUUUGGAAGAAAACAUUCAUGUGCCUUCUUUCAUCACAUGCAUCUGGAAGAAAACAACUAGGCUAUGUUUGCAUCUUAAUGCUUUGAGACCUUUCUUGGGUAGGCCUUUUUUAGUAUUAAAAGUUUUAUGA
Long non-coding RNA from Magnolia sinica, 1230 nucleotides. RefSeq lists it as uncharacterized. The record is from RefSeq and is a predicted model, not a curated record. Lineage: Eukaryota; Viridiplantae; Streptophyta; Magnoliopsida; Magnoliales; Magnoliaceae. The transcript has 2 exons.